Desulfonispora thiosulfatigenes DSM 11270 is the source of this 172-nucleotide non-coding RNA. The record is from Rfam. NCBI's taxonomy places the organism in Bacteria, Bacillati, Bacillota, Clostridia, Eubacteriales, Peptococcaceae.
UCCACCGUGAGGUGGAAUCUGAAGGAAGUCGGAGGCAAAGUUCUGGUUUGAGGUACACGAACUACAUUAGAGGCUUGACCCUAUGGAUGAGGUUGCAUAACAAGCCAAAAUCCUGAAUUAUCCGAAAUAGGGAAAGUAUAUGUAGCAGAUACAUGGAAUGAAAGUUUACGCU